RNAcentral lists this ribosomal RNA (465 nucleotides) under Vreelandella stevensii. RNAcentral describes it as "partial 16S ribosomal RNA". It matches the Rfam family "Bacterial small subunit ribosomal RNA", at positions 338 to 795 of the family's 1533-position model. Lineage: Bacteria; Pseudomonadati; Pseudomonadota; Gammaproteobacteria; Oceanospirillales; Halomonadaceae. The record is from RNAcentral.
CCUACGGGUGGCAGCAGUGGGGAAUAUUGGACAAUGGGCGAAAGCCUGAUCCAGCCAUGCCGCGUGUGUGAAGAAGGCCUUCGGGUUGUAAAGCACUUUCAGUGGGGAAGAAAGCCUUGGGGCUAAUACCCUCGAGGAAGGACAUCACCCACAGAAGAAGCACCGGCUAACUCCGUGCCAGCAGCCGCGGUAAUACGGAGGGUGCGAGCGUUAAUCGGAAUUACUGGGCGUAAAGCGCGCGUAGGCGGUCUGAUAAGCCGGUUGUGAAAGCCCCGGGCUCAACCUGGGAACGGCAUCCGGAACUGUCAGGCUAGAGUGCAGGAGAGGAAGGUAGAAUUCCCGGUGUAGCGGUGAAAUGCGUAGAGAUCGGGAGGAAUACCAGUGGCGAAGGCGGCCUUCUGGACUGACACUGACGCUGAGGUGCGAAAGCAUGGGUAGCAAACAGGAUUAGAUACCCCAGUAGUC